CUGCUCACUUCAUCAGCACAUAUGCUAAACUGGAAUGAUACAGAGAUUAGCAUGGCCCCUGAUGCACAAAUAUGUGAAGCGUUCCAUAAAUUU
Molecule: small nuclear RNA, 93 nt
Filed under: Nomascus leucogenys (northern white-cheeked gibbon)
Lineage: Eukaryota; Metazoa; Chordata; Mammalia; Primates; Hylobatidae
Source: RNAcentral